This 636-nucleotide ribosomal RNA is filed under the name Triticum aestivum (bread wheat). RNAcentral's name for it is "partial small subunit ribosomal RNA". Lineage: Eukaryota; Viridiplantae; Streptophyta; Magnoliopsida; Poales; Poaceae. The record is from RNAcentral.
AUGGACAAACUAGCUAGCCAAGAAUGCUUCAACAGAGUCACUAAGAAACCGAAGGCUAUUUUUAUCCGAGUCUUAAAUAACAGUUUUAGGAAGGAGUGUGGCUAUUGCACAUGUAGCACUAAUGGACAUGAUGUUUUGAGUGACAUAUUGUCACGGUCAUCACUAAAAGAAGUCGUGAGGAUGAGCGUGGUUUCUAUUGACUGGACAUGGCUCAAGAUAUGCCACCCUGACCUUGUCAUCUCUGGUAGAUAUACAACCAGGAUUACUAACCGGGCAUCCACGAUUGCCGAAUUCAUUGCCAACGUGGACAGUGUAUUGUGCCCACUGUUCUCUACUUCUACGACAACUACCAUUAUGUUGGAUAAGUUGGCUUCGUGGGGGCAGGCGGGGAGGAGGAGAUGGACGAGGACGGCGCACGGAGGCGGGGGAGGAGGAGAUAGACGAGGACGGCGCACGGAGGCGGGGAAGGAGCAGGUGGUGCUGAUGUGGGGCUACCUCUCCGGCGUCUCGCUGCAGCGCUCGCUGCUGCUUCGCCCCGUGCCCGUAAGGUUGCCCCCGGCGGUGGCCGACGACGCCUGGAGGGAUGUCUGCGGCUGUGGGUGCGGCUUCACCAUGGCCAUCUCCGGUGACGCCUGA